UGUAGUCAAGAGGAAAUCAUUAGCGAAUCGUAAUUCAAUGUAUGGAGACGUAGUUCGUUUAGAUAGUGAAAAGAAAUCGUCUUAUAAAAUUGUGAAUACUUUAUUAAGUGUUAAUACUUUACUUUUUAUUUUUUUUUGUUGCAAAUUAAACUCUAUUAAAGAAUUGUUUUAAAUAAAAUUCAAGCGAAUAUGUUUAUGCCAAGAAUUUAUAAGUGCUUAUAAUAUAUCAUAAUGUGCCAUUUAUUAAAUCUUCUAAUAAAUAUGAAAUUGGCUCGGGAACCAAAAUUAGCAAUAGUUAAUUAAGUAAUAUACAUUAUGAAUUUAACUGAAAACAUCCAAUAUAUCAAAAAACUAAACAAAUCAAAUCAUGAAUUAUGAAAAUUACAGUUUGAACAAUACAAAGUUACAAUAAAAAGUUUAUUUCUACAGUAAAAUAUUAUAUAAUUUAUAAAAUUACACUAGUGAUAUUAUAAUUAAAAAUGAACAAAACCAACUUGAAUUGAUAAGUAAGAAAAGUAUUUUCAGAUUCUAUUGUCUGUAUCAAUUGAACAUGAUCAAGAAAUGCAAAAUGUUAAGCGAUGCAUGAAAACAAAAGAAAUACGAUUCACUAAUAAAAACAGUUUUGUAUAAACAGUUGUGUCAUCUAAAAAAGGAGCCUAUUCAGAAUAUGGUGGAGCAUGUAAAUAAUUUUAUUUGGCAGAAAGAAAACAAAAUGGUGGAAGAAUUAUGUUCAUUGGUUUUGUUCUUAUAAAAGUGGCAGAAGUAUCAUGUCCUUGGUUUUGUUCAUAGAAUCUAUCAGCAGAAUUGCCCAAUCGUUGAUGCUAAGAAAUUUAUUAUAUCAUUUAAAUACAAAAAGAAAGAAGUCGAUCUAAAAACGUAUUAUUACACUGUUAAGUUCAUCUUACUUCUCUUUAUGAAUUGUAUCAUUUUCUGUUUAAUUUUGUAAGACCAGUUAGAUUUAGGAAUAAAAAUGAAAGUAAUCUAUUGCUUUUGAAUUUGUAGAGAGACACUCAAAUUGUCCAAUCCAGUUUUAGAAGAUAGAACAUUAGCUGGACAAGUGAUAAAUAUUCAUCUUAUUUCUGAAAAAUGCUCCUGUUUUAUUUAAUUUUUGUAUUUUUUUUCAGAGUUGUGCUGUGAUGAGUAAUAGUAACAAUGAUAAUAAAGUGGAAUGGUGUAUUUAUGGUUUUAUACAUUUUAUCUUUCGAAGUGUGAUAUAAUACUUUAUUUUUUUUAGUUUCUCUAAGAUAAAGAAUGCAAUGCUUCAUUGAACAAUGAAAUGUCUAUAAAGUGGCGCUCUAUAUGUAAAUCUUUAUCAUCUUCAUUGCUGAUGUUGUCAAGACCAUUUUGUAAGAAGCAGCUAAUUAUAGGUACUUUAUGUCAGAAAAGAUUAUUUAUUGUACAAUUUAACCAUUUGUACUCCAGCUUAGUGAUUUACAUAGUAUACCAACAACUUCAGGAAUAUAUUACAAGUAUGUGUGUGUGUAUAACACAAGAAAUACGAUUGCUGCAAUGAAACAAAAUAUUUAUUCAUUAUUUAUGUUAUAUAAAACAAGCUCGCUUAUAAAUCUUCAAGAAAAUGAAAAUUUUAUGUUUUGUAAUUUGUCAUAGUCUAACAUUUCUGGAAACAAUCACCUAUAUGCAUAUAGGAUUUCCCAAGCCAACUAUCACAAAAUUCACUAGUUUCAUGUCUUUUUCCUUUCUCUUGUCUGUUAAAGCAUACAGCACAAUCUCGUUUUUUCCUUUUGCAUUAUAUACAGCUUUUUAUCAAAUCUGGUCUCAAAUGCCAAAGUUGAAAAUCUUGAUUGUUCUUCUUGGAAGUUACCUACUAGUUGAUCGAUUAAUCGCUUGAUGUACUUCAAAUGUGACAGUGGAUUUUCAAUUUUAUUCUUUUUCAUGCUUUUAUAUAAAAUGUAUGAACUUAUGAGAUACAAUAGUUUAUACUA
This is a long non-coding RNA of Vespula pensylvanica (western yellowjacket), 1943 nucleotides long. RefSeq lists it as uncharacterized. The transcript is spliced from 5 exons. The record is from RefSeq and is a predicted model, not a curated record. NCBI's taxonomy places the organism in Eukaryota, Metazoa, Arthropoda, Insecta, Hymenoptera, Vespidae.